AGACGGAGGGGGCUAGCGUUAUUCGGAAUUACUGGGCGUAAAGGGCGCGUAGGCGGAUUAGUAAGUUGGGAGUGAAAGCCCGGGGCUUAACCUCGGAACUGCUUUCAAAACUGCUAGUCUUGAGUGAAGUAGGGGGUGAUGGAAUUCCUAGUGUAGAGGUGAAAUUCUUAGAUAUUAGGAGGAACACCGGUGGCGAAGGCGGUCACCUGGACUUCAACUGACGCUGAGGCGCGAAAGCGUGGGGAGCAAACAGGAUUAGAUACCCUAGUAGUCC
This 274-nucleotide ribosomal RNA is filed under the name uncultured bacterium. RNAcentral describes it as "partial 16S ribosomal RNA". It matches the Rfam family "Bacterial small subunit ribosomal RNA", at positions 523 to 796 of the family's 1533-position model. The record is from RNAcentral.